UGUCAUCCCCCUGCCCUGCCCUGGGAUGAAUUUAGACCCCAGAAUUGGAAUGAAGGACAGGGAAAUGGAACUGUAUUCAGAUAAUGAAACUGAGACAGCUAACUUGUGAUUCCAAAUUGAAGAGAAAAACAUAUCGCUUUACUGUUUAAGAUGAUCCAAUGAGAAUGUCUGAUUUACAACUUGGAGCAAAUAAACCAACAUAGAUGGAAGAGGAAGUUCUACUGCACAAGCUGAGCCAAGUGUCCAGGAAACUUUCUUUGAGGCACAUCCCCACCCCAAUCACCCACUUCACUAACAAGACCAGCCUCAAUGAUGUGCCCAAGAUGCACAAGUUUACAAAGGGCAAGCAAUGAGUGGGCAGUGUAUACAAAUAACAACCCCACUUAUUAGCUCAUAGUCACU
Molecule: long non-coding RNA, 402 nt
Organism: Mauremys reevesii (Reeves's turtle)
Lineage: Eukaryota; Metazoa; Chordata; Testudines; Geoemydidae
Exons: 3
Source: RefSeq, a predicted model, not a curated record